UCGGGGGUGGGGGAUCCCUCAGCCCGGAUUGUGAGAGGGUGCAGGCCAGGCCGAGGGACCUAUCAGGGCCAG
RNAcentral lists this microRNA precursor (72 nucleotides) under Myotis brandtii (Brandt's bat). Its description in RNAcentral is "mir-9193 microRNA precursor family". It matches the Rfam family "mir-9193 microRNA precursor family". Lineage: Eukaryota; Metazoa; Chordata; Mammalia; Chiroptera; Vespertilionidae. The record is from Rfam by way of RNAcentral.